Molecule: non-coding RNA, 234 nt
Organism: Pelodiscus sinensis (Chinese soft-shelled turtle)
Lineage: Eukaryota; Metazoa; Chordata; Testudines; Trionychidae
Source: RefSeq, a predicted model, not a curated record
UCUGCCUCUUCCACCUGCUGCUGCUCCCAGGCCUGCUGGGGGGAGAGCGGAGCCGGCCCUGGAGCGAGCUGCUGGCCCGAAGCCUCUUUGCCUGCGGGGUCUCCACGGGGCUGCAGACCAGCCUGGGCAGCAGGAACAGAGGGGCCUGUGGGGUGUGCCGAGCAAGACUGCCUGGCCCCGGGCAGCUGGAGUCAGUCCCUCCGAGAGGUCUCUGGCGCCGUGCUGGUCUCGGGG